AUUUUUUAGGUUCAUAACAGAACCUUAAAAUCCGAUCUCACAGAGACGGGAAGCCAGUGAAAAGGUGCCAGAAUGGGCAUAAUGUGGUCAAACUUUCUACUUCAUGUCAAAAGUCUGGCAGCAGCAUUUUGAACCAGUUGAAGACCCCUGAUGCUGGACUGCGAUAAAC
This is a long non-coding RNA of Thalassophryne amazonica, 169 nucleotides long. RefSeq lists it as uncharacterized. NCBI's taxonomy places the organism in Eukaryota, Metazoa, Chordata, Actinopteri, Batrachoidiformes, Batrachoididae. The transcript has 3 exons. The record is from RefSeq and is a predicted model, not a curated record.